CCCUUAGAUGGUCUGGGCGGCACGCGCGCUACAAUGAUGCAUUCAAAAAGUCUUCUGACCUUAGAAGGUUGGGUAUUCUCCAAAGUGCAUCGUGAUGGGAAUAGUUUAUUGCAAUUUUUAAUCUUGAACGAGGAAUUCCUAGUAAGUACAGGUCAUCAACUUGUGUUGAUUACGUCCCUGCCCUUUGUACACACCGCUCGUCGCUCCUACUGAUUGAGUGUCUCGGUGAAUUCUUUGAUCUUCUGUCGAUUCAGUUCACUGAUCCGACGGUGGAAAGUUGAAUGAACUUCGUCACUUAGAGGAAGGAGAAGUCGUAACA
This 319-nucleotide ribosomal RNA is filed under the name uncultured eukaryote. Its description in RNAcentral is "partial 18S ribosomal RNA". It matches the Rfam family "Eukaryotic small subunit ribosomal RNA", at positions 1470 to 1796 of the family's 1831-position model. The record is from RNAcentral.